This 467-nucleotide ribosomal RNA is filed under the name uncultured bacterium. RNAcentral's name for it is "partial 16S ribosomal RNA". It matches the Rfam family "Bacterial small subunit ribosomal RNA", at positions 28 to 507 of the family's 1533-position model. The record is from RNAcentral.
GACGAACGCUGGCGGCGUGCUUAACACAUGCAAGUCGAACGAUGACGACCGAGCUUGCUCGGUCUGAUUAGUGGCGAACGGGUGAGUAACACGUGAGCAACCUGCCCUUCACUCUGGGAUAACCUCGGGAAAUCGGGGCUAAUACCGGAUAUGAGCUCCUGUCGCAUGGCGGGUGUUGGAAAGUUUUUCUGUGAAGGAUGGGCGCGCGGCCUAUCAGUUUGUUGGUGAGGUAGUGGCUCACCAAGGCGAUGACGGGUAGCCGGCACGAGAGGGCGACCGGCCACACUGGGACUGAGACACGCCCCAGCAUCCAACGGGAGGCAGCAGUGGGAAAUAUUGCAAAAUGGGCGAAAGCCAGAUACAGAGCCGCCGCGUGAGGGAUGACGGCCUUCGGGUUGUAAACCUCUUUCAGCAGGGAAGAAGCGAUAGUGACGGUACCUGCAGAAGAAGCGCCGGCUAACUACGUG